Molecule: unclassified non-coding RNA, 2234 nt
Filed under: Drosophila virilis
Lineage: Eukaryota; Metazoa; Arthropoda; Insecta; Diptera; Drosophilidae
Description: GJ24223
Source: RNAcentral
AGAAGAAGCAAAUAGUCCAGUUGUUGGGUUACGUUUAUCUUUGCCUUGUAAAGAAAACGUCAAAAAAGUGCGAAAUACAGCGAAUUUUCUGGCGAAAAUUGUUGAAACCCCUAUUUCAACAUAUACCGGUGCUACAGUCGAUUAGUAAAAUAGUUGGUCUUUGUGCGAACUAACUAAAAAUUGCAUUUAAAAAAUUUGCGCGUUCACGGUUCGUUCAGCGUGGCGUGUGUAUGUAUAUAUGUGUGCGUAAUAUACCUGCUAGUUGGUUUGAUUCGCUGUCUCAGUGCGCAAGGAGAGCAAGAGAGAACUCGCUACUUUGAAGCGAAGCGUUGCAACUGAACGAAAACAUUGCAAAAUACAAAUAAUUGUAUUUUGUAAGCAAUAUUAAUAUCAAUACCGAUAUCAUAAUGUCCGACGAGACCAGCAUACAGAAACCGGAAGCAGAGGCCGUUGCCGAGGCGAAGGCCAACAACGAUGAAGAUGCAUCAAUUCAACCGGCGGCAGAUGAGAAGAAGACACCCAAACGCACGCCCAAGCGUCGCUCCUUCAUUGAGCGGGCUCAGCGCGAGAGUGAAGAGCUGGUGCGGACAAUGGGUGGCAGCUUGGAGCUGGAAGGUGGACGACGCACUCGAUCCAGUACUCGUGGUACACCAACGCGACCCGCCGAAACCGUAACGCCGCCACCGAGCAAAAAGGCGCGCACAUCCCCAGCGACGACUAAGAGCGGCGGACGGGGACGCGGAGCACGCAAAUUGGAUAUAGCCGGCGGUGAGGAAGUUGAGCAAGAGACUGCUAAAUCCAAGUCAGUCAUAGCGGACGAGCAGGAAGAGCCGGUGCAGGCAAGCGAAGCUGUUAAGUCAAAUGUUGCUGCAAAGAAAGGAAAGAAAGAAGAGAAGGUUCAAAAGGCUAAGGAAGCUGAUGUAAAGGAGACGGUAGAUACCAAGAGCAAAGACGAUUCUGAACCUAAAGACACGGAAUCAAAAGUAACUGCGUCCCAAGCCACAGAAUCAACGGAUCAGCCAGACUCUGCUGCCCAAGUGCCUGCAGCGCAAGAUAAAAAACAAAACAAUGUUGUUCACGAUAAAUCAAAUACAAAGGAGCCUGAAGUGAAGGAGAAAACGCCCGAGCCAUUGGCAAAGCCGGAGGAACCAGCUGAACCAGUUGAAAGCCCACAGAAAAGUGAUGCUGCUGCCCCAGAUUCUGCCUCAGCAAUGGAAGUGGAUGACGAAGAAAAACAGCAGCCAAUCACAGAACAGCCUGCCGCAGAUACUACAUCUUCCGAUACUGCUGUUAUUACAGAAACAAUUGACGGAAAGAAUGAAUCAAAAGUCGCCCAGGAAAAGGUGAGCAGUGAGGAACCGAAAGUAGAAACCUCUGAACCCGUCAAGCAGCAGACACCGGAACCCAUGGAGGUAGAUUCGAGUUCGAAAGCUAGCACUGAAACCACCAAGACCGUAUCACCCGUUAAAGAGGUUGUGCCAGUAGCAGCUGCCGCCGCAGCCGUCGAGUCUGAAUCAGAUCAGACGACAGUAAGUAAUAACGAAGUCGUUGAAUCGGCUAUCGAAGUCAAAGAGGAUGCACCAGUCGUACCGGAGAAGGAGGUAAAUGCUAGCGAAGUCGAGAGCACACCAGCAGAGAACAGUACAACUAAAGCUGAUGAAGCACCUGCCAACAAUGAUGUAAGCAAACUGUCUGUGCCGGUUGCCCAAGCCGAUACCGUCGUAACGGAGACACCGCCAACGGCCGUUAAGGAGCCGCAGGCCAACUGUGAAAACAAGUCCGAGCACAAUGACAAUGGCGAACCGAAGAUCGUUAACAAUGCCACCGACGAUGGGGAAAACCAUGUAACGCCGCAGGCUUGCAAUUAAGCAGAAGCAAUAUUAUAAUAAUGAUGAUGAUAAUGAAAACCAAUAACUAUAGCUCGUGCCGAAAGUGUACAAGUGUAACUUCGAAUCGAUUCGACAAGUUGCCGCCAACAAAUAAGCAAAUAACAAGAGUUUUACCCAAAAACGGGCAUGCAUAGGUUUAAUUCUGUUUCCAUUGUCAAGUUUUCUUUUUAUUCUCAAACCACAAAAUGGCUGUAAUCGAUGCUGGAUUUUAAAUGCUGAUCUGUGUGCGCAAUAUAUAGUAACAAACACAUACAGCAAAUAGAAACUAAAACGUAGAUCUAACCCGCCAACACACACCCAGCCCCACACACACACACACACACACACACGCACACAUUGUUAAAA